This 496-nucleotide ribosomal RNA is filed under the name uncultured bacterium. Its description in RNAcentral is "partial 16S ribosomal RNA". It matches the Rfam family "Bacterial small subunit ribosomal RNA", at positions 29 to 507 of the family's 1533-position model. The record is from RNAcentral.
AUGAACGCUGGCGGCGUGCCUAAUACCUGCAAGUCGAGCGAACGGACGAGAAGCUUGCUUCUCUGAUGUUAGCGGCGGACGGGUGAGUAACACGUGGAUAACCUACCUAUAAGACUGGGAUAACUUCGGGAAACCGGAGCUAAUACCGGAUAAUAUUUUGAACCGCAUGGUUCAAAAGUGAAAGACGGUCUUGCUGUCACUUAUAGAUGGAUCCGCGCUGCAUUAGCUAGUUGGUAAGGUAACGGCUUACCAAGGCAACGAUGCAUAGCCGACCUGAGAGGGUGAUCGGCCACACUGGAACUGAGACACGGUCCAGACUCCUACGGGAGGCAGCAGUAGGGAAUCUUCCGCAAUGGGCGAAAGCCUGACGGAGCAACGCCGCGUGAGUGAUGAAGGUCUUCGGAUCGUAAAACUCUGUUAUUAGGGAAGAAUAUAUGUGUAAGUAACUGUGCACAUCUUGACGGUACCUAAUCAGAAAGCCACGGCUAACUACGUG